RNAcentral lists this ribosomal RNA (253 nucleotides) under uncultured bacterium. Its description in RNAcentral is "partial 16S ribosomal RNA". It matches the Rfam family "Bacterial small subunit ribosomal RNA", at positions 524 to 776 of the family's 1533-position model. The record is from RNAcentral.
UACAGAGGUCUCAAGCGUUGCUCGGAUUCAUUGGGCGUAAAGGGUGCGUAGGCGGCGCGGUAAGUCGGGUGUGAAAUCUCGGAGCUUAACUCCGAAACUGCAUUCGAUACUGGCGUGCUUGAGGACUGGAGAGGAGACUGGAAUUUACGGUGUAGCGGUGAAAUGCGUAGAUAUCGUAAGGAAGACCAGUGGCGAAGGCGGGUCUCUGGACAGUUCCUGACGCUGAGGCACGAAGGUCAGGGGAGCAAACGGG